Molecule: ribosomal RNA, 643 nt
Filed under: Sarcogyne coeruleonigricans
Lineage: Eukaryota; Fungi; Ascomycota; Lecanoromycetes; Acarosporales; Acarosporaceae
Description: SSU rRNA
Rfam family: Bacterial small subunit ribosomal RNA
Source: RNAcentral
GCUAGUUGUAUUAUUAGUUAAUGCAAGAUCGACUACGUCGACUAAAGUUCUAGGUAGAAUAAUGAUGAUGACAAUUUUUUACCUAUAUGUCUUGACCAAGUCUCGUGCCAGCAGUCGCGGUAAUACGUGGAAGACUAGUGUUAUUCAUCUUUAUUAGGUUUAAAGGGUACCUAGACGGUAUUUCUAGCCCAAAAUAGGGUACGGAUUUACUAGAGUUUUAUGUGAGGAGGGGAGUACUCGUGGAGUAGAGAUGAAAUUUUGUUAUACUAUGAGGUAACUGGUAGCGGCGAAAGCAACCUUCUAUGUAUAAACUGACGUUGAGGGACGAAGGCUUGGGUAGCAAAUAGGAUUAGAUACCCUAGUAGUCCAAGCAGACAAUUCUGAAUGCCAUAGAUUAGAUUAUUUUUGAUCUAUAAAUGAAAGUGUAAGCAUUCCACCUUAGGAGUAAUGUGGCAACACAGGAACUGAAAUCAUUAGACCGUUUCUGAAACCAGUAGUGAAGUAUGUUAUUUAAAUUGAUGGUCCACAAAAAACCUUACCACAACUUGAAUAUUUUUAAUUAAUACAAGCGUUGCACGGCUGUCUUCAGUUAAUGUCGUGAGAUUUUGGUUAACUCCAUUAAUUAACGUAAACCCUUACUUUA